UACGGGGGGGGCAAGCGUUGUUCGGAAUUACUGGGCGUAAAGGGCUCGUAGGCGGCCAACUAAGUCAUACGUGAAAUCCCUCGGCUUAACCGGGGAACUGCGUCUGAUACUGGAUGGCUUGAGUUCGGGAGAGGGAUGCGGAAUUCCAGGUGUAGCGGUGAAAUGCGUAGAUAUCUGGAGGAACACCGGUGGCGAAGGCGACUUUCUGGCCUGUUCUUGACGCUGAGGCGCGAAAGCUAGGGGAGCAAACGGG
RNAcentral lists this ribosomal RNA (253 nucleotides) under uncultured bacterium. RNAcentral's name for it is "partial 16S ribosomal RNA". It matches the Rfam family "Bacterial small subunit ribosomal RNA", at positions 524 to 776 of the family's 1533-position model. The record is from RNAcentral.